CAUCUGUGUAGAUAUAAGCCAUGAUAUUGUUGGAACCUGAAGUAAAAAAUAUAUGUCUAUCCUGAUACUCUGAAGUAAAAAAGAAACAAAAAGAUGUGGUAUGCUUGACAAUAAGACAACUCUCCAACCAAGUCACAAUUUGUGAAAAGUCCAAAGUACGGCAUUCAACGCGAAGCCUUGGCUCACAUCGAAUAGCAAGCUUUAAAGCCCC
This 211-nucleotide long non-coding RNA is filed under the name Mytilus galloprovincialis (Mediterranean mussel). The record is from RNAcentral. Lineage: Eukaryota; Metazoa; Mollusca; Bivalvia; Mytilida; Mytilidae.